Molecule: long non-coding RNA, 3415 nt
Organism: Hippopotamus amphibius kiboko
Lineage: Eukaryota; Metazoa; Chordata; Mammalia; Artiodactyla; Hippopotamidae
Exons: 4
Source: RefSeq, a predicted model, not a curated record
UGACUUUAGUCUCUCAUUUCCUAGAGAAGAAUGGGAAAUUCCUCCUCCAUUUGCUGUGGGACCCAGAAAACCAUUCCAUCUGGCUUUGCCUGGGAGUGAAAUGAACUACUGCAACGGGGUAUCAGCAGGACAUAAAAGCUAACGAAUUGAUUUAAUUUAAAAAGUUUUGUGUGUGUAUACAUGAGGGUGUACACACGUGAAGAUGUAUGUAUGUCUGCGUGUGAGCACACGAGAGGUGCAUUUCUGGCUCUCAAUGUGGACCAUAGGAAAGGAAGAGGCACUUGGUUGUGUGAUAUGAGUACAAAAUCUAGGAAGAGUAUGAGCACAUCCUCCUGCAAUGCUGGCUGCCUGAUUCCUUGUUCCUCCCAGGCUGGAUGGGGUGGUCUGUUACCUUGGUGGUUCCCCAAUGAUCCAUGCCUCCUGGUAAUUGUAGAAAGCAGUCUGGCCUUGGAGUCAGCAGACGCAGAGUCAACUUGCAGUCCUGCCAGAUGCUGUGUGACCUGGGACAGGUGCCUUGGCUUCUCAGAGCCUCAGCUUCCUCUUCUACAAAAUAGGAAUAAUAAAACCUAUCCUGCCAGCCAUGCAGGGAUCUUAAGAGGUCUGAAUAGAACACUGGGUUAGGGAGGCAUCUUAAAGCGCAAUGGAUGCUUACAUUUCCUCCUAUGACAGCACCACCUAGAAGCCACACAACCUGAGCUUCAGCUUGUUCUCACAGGGAGUCCCGUGCACUGUGGGAUAGCUUGGAUUUAUUUUGAGCUGAAAACUUUUUUCUACCAAUUGGUUCUUCUCCAGGUGGGUAUACACACACAAGUGUAGUCCCUCCUCUAGAAGAAAAGCUUUCAGAUUUCUGGAGGGAAGACUGCACCCCCGAUAUGGGCAGAGCAGUCCCUGUGCCCUCUCCCCAUUAGGCUGAGCCUUUGGCUCCCGUCACUGCCAUGGUUACUGUUCUCCAAAGGCACUGUAGGUAACUGACAAUCCUCGAAGUAUCGCGUCUGGAACAGAAUGUCACACUCAGGAUGAUCUAAAAGGGGGAGAAUUAAGUGGGACAGUCGCCUCUCUUGUUCUAGAUGAUGUACCUCUGUUCCCGUAGCUGACCCUUGAUUUGGCUGCUUUGGUCAUCAUGUCUUAAUAGCAGCACUUCCUUCACCAUCUCAUCUUCGAACCCCUGACUUUCUGAUUAUGUCUUUUAUUUCCAGCUUAUUCCAUCUGGUACCCAAUUCAAUAAUUCUCAGAAAAAAAAAAUAAUUCUCAGGCCUCAUCAGGACCUUCUGUCCACUGUUCAUACCACUGCCCUUCACCCUCCUCUCUACUGGGUCCUCAUCUGUCCCUUCUUACCUGGCCUAGAUCUCAUGAUGCUUCAUUAUAAUCAACCCUUGAAGACACUCAAUUCCCUUUUCUCCAUCUUCCUCUCAUGCCUGGCAAAAUUCCAACCCUGAUUAAAUUCUACUCUCUGUCUCUUCCUGCCCUGCAUCCAGACAGUGGAAACUGGUUAGAGAAAAGCACAGAAAAGGGUUAGCUGACCUAAGUUACAUUCAUGACCAGUAACCUCAAGGGGGACCAGGGAGCUUCCCAGCAGCUAUCCUCUAGUUCCCUAGUCUGGACAUUCCAGGUGCUGCCACCUCUGUUUCCAUCCUCUGUCCCCAUCCUCACUCUCAGCGGACGACCUUGUCAUCCAAGGGGGCUCCCACAUGCUCCCACAACAUCUGCCCACCUCGGCCUUCUCUCUGUGAGGAUGGGCUCUGUGCUCCCACCUCAGACGAAGCUCCCCGGUGUGCACUAGACUCUCAUCCCCUUGCUUACUCGGCACGUCUCCCCCACACCCCCCCCACUCCAUUACCAACUUCAUCUUUUCUAUAGGAUCAUCCGCACUGCAUAUAACUUCAAUAUUUCUUUCCCUUAUCUUAAAAAAUAAAAGCAAAAACCACAACAACAAUAAAAUGCUUUCUUCUUAUCCCCAGAUAAGGAAUCCAGGCAAGGAGACUUGAAAGUUUAGUAACCUGUCCAAGGUCAAUGACCUGGAAGUGUGGGGUUGGUUCAGCCGCCUCCAAGGCCCACCCAGAUGAGGCUUCCUGGGCUGCAGAGGCCGGAGCAUCUCUCUCUAGCCCACCGCUCUGGUCCGAGUGGCUGAACUCAGACAAGGAAGUUCUUUGCCAAGGACGUCCAGACCAGCUCUGCCUACCUGGGCACUCUUGGGACAGUAAGAAAGGCUGGAGGUUUUCAAGUGAGAAGGGGACCUGCUAGGUCUGCAGGGGCCUGCUGAGCUGCUGAGACUACCUUGACUGACUCAGCUGGGAGGGUGGGGGCUCUUUGGAGAACAGCCAGCAUGCCAUCCCAGCAGCAUGCCAGCCUCAGCAGCAUGCCAGCCUCAGCAGGGGCAGUGGGUGGCAACGGCGGCAGAGAGUUGGGGCAGGCCAGGAGGGCAGGAGCUGCCAGUGUGGUGCACCCCCGUGCAGACAUGACUCCCCAUGACUCCCCCAGGCCCAGCCCGCGUGGCCCGCGUGGCAGCUCAUUAAUGCUGCCUGGUCCUCGGAGCUGGAAAAUGACGACUAACGAGGCGAGCUCUCUUCCCAGGCCAUUCCGUCAGAAGGGCACACGUCGCUCCCCCACUACUAACAACAUCCCUAUUCCUGCCAGGAACCCAGAACAGCGCGGCCAAGGGGGUUUUUCUCCCGGGACAUCAGAUACGUAACGACCUCCAGAUCACAGACCUGCAGCCACCCCCCCCACCCCCCCUUCUCUGCUCCCAAAGAUUCUCCCAGAGAACAAGCCCAUUUGGCUUUGAGAUUUCCGAGUACACGGGGUCAAGCUGGAAUUUUUGGACCACCCGGAAAAGCAUGCAUCCCUGCCAAAACCCAUGUUGACUUAGUCAUACUAUCUGUUCACAGUCCUCUUUCACAAGGGACAGGCUGACCCACUCACUUGUCCGUCACGGCCUGCAUGAACUCGUCCAGAAGGUCGUCGUACCCCUGCCCGCGCACGCGCCGGUGCUUCAGGCCGAUGUACAGAGGGUCCCUGAGCAGCUCCUGCAACAGAGAGCAUCCGUCUCAUCAAGUGUCUGGGGUUAACAGGCGGGGGGAGGGGGACGGGGAGGAGGGAGGAGCUGCCCCCCAGCCCUACCCCCCGCUCCCUAGGUGCUGUCUCCGAAAGGGUCUGGAAGCUAAGCCACGGAUGGAGGGUGGACCCCUAGGGGUCCACGCUAGGAACCAAGGAUACUUUGCACAAGCAAGACUCUCUGAUUCAGUCUUCCAACCUCUGGCUGCAGCUCUGGGUUCAUUUCAGGGUUUCUCGACAGUGAUACUAUGGACAUUUUGGCCUGGACAAUUCUUUGAUGUGAAGGCUGACCGCACAUUGUAUUGAUAGAAUAUGUAGCAGUGUCUCUGGGCUCUUCCCACUUGAAAUCAGUAGCACCCCCAGU